Molecule: long non-coding RNA, 5556 nt
Filed under: Fukomys damarensis (Damara mole-rat)
Lineage: Eukaryota; Metazoa; Chordata; Mammalia; Rodentia; Bathyergidae
Description: lncRNA (ENSFDAG00000027704.1)
Source: RNAcentral
GAAGAUGUACACUUGUUUCUGAUCCUCAAUUUAUUUGAGCAAUGUGAUUUCAGUUUAUAUAUUUGUGCUAAUAUGUCUUAAAUUGUCAAUUUAGCUAUAUAUAUGUCACAUUUAUUAUUUUCAGGAGAGUCACCUCUGACACAUGAUGAAAAUGGGAAAAUACAAAUGUUAUCAUCGGAUUCUUUUUCAAAAUAUAUAGAAAGUGGGACUAUAAUGUAAUGAAUCAGAUAUUUUAUUUGGGAAUCUCCUUGAAUUUUUGCAAUGUCCUAUAUGACACAUAAACUACAGAGUGCUAAAGAAAUUAUACAAUAAUACAAUUUCACUGUGAAUUAAUAGGGAGCUAUAAAUGUGGAACUACCCUGCCCCUUGGCCUUGCCAGUAGCACCGUCCUUUACAGAGCCAUCCUAUCUCUCAGUGUUUUUUGAGCUCACAUGUCUGAAGCCAUCCUUUCAUUUCUACCCAAGAGUGGAUGUCAUUUCCAGUGUUUGAGUUUUUUAGAUUUUCUUGUCUCAAACUUCUUAAGCAGACACUUAGAUAGUCCAAGAGUAUAAGAUGAACUUUAUUGGCCUGAUUCCUAAAAUGACUGUCCUAGUUAAGAUGUGUGGAACAAUACAGCUACAGAGCAGUGUUUGCUGCUGCUCUUCCCCUGGUAACACUAGUAAGUCCAGUGAGCACCCGAGCAGAUGCCUGUGAUGCCGAGGGGCUUACGUGGUGCCCAUUCUCCCACCAGGCUCUGAGUAUUAUGCUGAUUCAGGAGCAUCUCUGGAAUCCCAAAGUAGAACAUGAAGAGAAGCAACUACGGCUCCUACUACCAUGGAAAGAUUGUAUAAAAGGCAACACAUACGGUAUUUGUGCUGUGUGAGGACUUCUUACACCUGAUCUGCCAUUUCUUUCAUGCAAACUUCUCAGUCCAGCCAGUCCUACAGCACGUGGAAGCUCAGGGCCCAUCUGCAGCCAGGGCUCGGCCACAGUCUGCCCCUUCCAGACGGGAUGGGGAACCUACAGCACGCAUGCCACGUGGGCACACAGACACAGAUUGGGGUGCACAGAAGCACUUCCUCAAGGCUUUCAUGGGCACAUGGCCCUGAAAGGAUGUCUGCACCUUCUGGAGCUAACGGUGCAGGCGCUGUCCUGACUGCAGAAGUCUUCAGAGAUCACAUGACCCAGAAGAGACCCAGCCAAAGAGCCACGAAGACCCAUUUCACGCCAAAGGAGCCUCCAAAGAUCGGGAGCCACAGCGGAACGCAGUGAUUCUUCACCAUGGUCCGCGCUGAAAUCCGCAAGCUGCAGCUCCUUUUCUCAGAUCCAGCCCAGGCUCAGCCACCCCUUUGCCCGCGUCCCCCUCCCUUCCCCUUGCAGAGCUGAGCAGCGUUGUCUGACGGGACGCCACCCCUACCAAUCAUGGCAAGGAGAAGGGAGUGAGUCUCCUCUGAGACUGCGGGGAGGGAGAGACACACUCCAAAGCUCCCUGCGUGCACUAGUGUCAAAUGGAACAAGGAGAGCAUUUUACCAAAUACUGUAAGUAUUUGUUACCUAUUCAAGAACAUGUUAAUAGUGUUCUAAGUGUUAUCCACUUGAGUGAAAACUUAAGUUAUUUCUGCACAUUACUAAAGCUAUGAUUAAGUGUGUUAUAUAUGUAGUCUGACCGAGGUGAGAACAGUCUACGUUACUCAACAGACUUUUCAUCAGAGGAGGAAUGGGCGAGGAGGACGCAGUAAAUCUGCACAAUAUAACGUUGCCCAGCCUUGAUCAGCAAGGCAGUCCUGCCAGAUGUGCCAGCCCGGGUGAGAAGGGAAGGCUGUGUGCGAAGUGGAGUCAGGCGGGCACAGGAAGUCGGCGCUGCGUGACGCACUUGGACGUGGAAGCUAAGAAAGUGGAACUCGGAGGGGCUGAGAUGAGGGUCAGCUCAGCACCUGCUGGCGGCGGGUGGGGGUCGCCGUGGGCAUUUAUUAAAGGCUAUGAAACUUUCGGUUAGGCAGAAGGAAAAAGCCCAAGCAACCUACCGUACAAUGAGGUGAAUAUCGUUAAAAAACUGCACUUUACAAAUCACUGAGAUGGCAGAUUUUAUGAAUUCUCCACCUAAGAAAUGAUAGGCAAGUAAGGUAAUGCAUGUGCUAAUUAGCUCAGGGGAUCCACUCCGCAGUGUAUGCAUUCCGAAUAUCAUGUUGCACAUACGCCUUUUAGUUAUAAAGCAACGCUCCCCAAACUACUACGACUUUGUCCAGACAAAACAGAGUACUUUAUGCCUAUUAAGAAAAUCCAAUUUACACGUUGAAAUACCCAAAAUAGAAAUUAGAAAAUACAAAUGAUCUCACCAGAUAAUCUCAUCAAAUGUCUAGAAAAGACUUAGCAACAAUUCAACACAAACUCUUGCAGUGGGGCACACCUAGCUCACUAUUAAAAACGCAAUCAUUGUAAUCUACUCUGAUAACAGAGCACAAAAGAAAACUCACAUCUUAUUACUUGACAGAGACAAAAAUUUGACAAAAUUCAACACCCAUUUAAGGUUAAAAUUCCCCCCAAGUAACAGGAAUACAAGGGGGCUUUCAUAUGUUGAUAAACACUACUGAUAAAAUCAUACUUGAUUUAUUUAAUUCAUUAAAUUCAUUGGUACAUUUUAGGUACACAACAUGAUGAUGUUCAUCACUGGGAAUUUGUACCUGUAGAUGACAUAUCUUGGUCAUUCUUAAUGUCUGAAAGGCUGCUUUCUGGAGAUCAGGAAUAAGAGGACAAAAUUCAUUCUGAUCAUUCUUAUUCUUGGAUAUUUUAUCUAGGUCAGUAAAAUAAAAGGAAGACUAGCAUAUAAGGAACAAAGCUGUCUCUUUUCUGAUGGCAUGACUGUCUGUGUCCAAGACCAGAGAGUAUGUGAGAAUAAGAGCAGCAGCCACAAAGUCCUCAACCUGUGAGUGAGUUUCCUAAGGCCAGGUGAUAUAAGAAAGUCAAAUGAAAUCAGUUGCCUUUUAUAUAUGAGUAAUGGGCAGCAAGUUAAAAUAUAAUACCAUUUACAAUCAGUUAAAAAAUAAAACACUUAAAUAUAAAUAUAGCAAAACAUAUUCAGUACUUGAAUACUCAACAUUUUAACACAUGAAAGAAAUUAAAGAAGACAUAUGAAUGGAGAAAUUAUUUGGCAUAGAAAAAAAUACCAAUUCUUCCCUGAAUUGAAUAAAAUUUUCAGGAAAUUUCUAUUUAAAAUCCCAGCAGGGAUUUUGCAGAUGUAGAGAAUGUAAUUUUCAAACCAUAGCACUUUUCUUAUGAAAAAAAAUCUCAUAAUAGCUAAAAUUCUUUCAAUACAAGACUGUGUAUUUCAUGGCUAGAGCAAUCAAGACCAUAUGAUACUGGCAAAGUAUUAAUGAAGAGAGAGGCACUUAAAUCAACAAACCGUGCUGCAUCGAUGGGACACCUACAGUGGAAAAUACCGAAGGAAGGGAAGGAAGGAAAAGGGAAGAGAAAGGAAAGAAAACAGGGGAAGGAAGAAGGAAGGAACAUAUGAAAGGAAGAAGAGAAAAGACAGGAGGUAAGGAGGGAAUGGACACUGACUCACAUCUUACCUUAUAAGAAAGCUAACUCAAAGUAAGUCGAAGGUCACGUGUAAAGGUACGAUGAAUAACCACAACACUUAAAAAUAAUUAAAACCUACCAAACCUUUAGAAUUUAGGACCAGGCAAAGAAUUUUUAGAUUUGGAACCAACAUCGUGACCUGUGAAAUUGAAGUUGAUAAAUUAGUCUUCAUAACAAUGAAAAAAUUUUACUCAGUAUAUUUCACUCAUGUUAAAAUGACAAAAAGAAAAACUACAUGUGAGAAGAAAAUGAUUAUGCCAUAUAUACAUACAUAUAUGACAAAAGAGUAAUAUCAAGAAUACUUAGAAAACUACCUUUCAACAUUGAAAGGCAAAAAAGAAAUAAUGAAAAAACCUACUUAGAAAUAAAUAAAACAUAAAAAGUAAUGAGAAUAUGGGCAAAAAUCCAAUGAGACGUUUCAUGCAUGUGAGUACUCAGCCAACAAAUUAAUACGUGAAAUAAUUAAUAAAAUUAAUAUGUGAAAUAAUUAAAUAAUAUGUGUUCCACAUCAUUAGCUGCUAGCAGAGUACAGAUGAAAACCAAUCAGGACAGCAGAGACAAAAAAAAAAAAAUAGUAACAAUGCCUAAUCCCAGCACUUAAGAGGAUGAGGCAGGAGGAUCGCUGUGAGUUCCAGGCCAACCUGGGAUACGUACUGAAAUCCUGUCUCAAAAAACAAAACAAAAGAAGUAACAAUGCCAGUUCUGGAGAAAUAUGGGAGAUGGGACCAUUCACACAAUUAUGAUGGGGAAGUAGAUAAUAAUACAGCCACUCUGGUGAGCAGGCUGUCAGUAUUUCUCCUUUGUUCAAUUUAAUUUCAUUUAGCGAAUAUUUAAUAUAAUUUAAAGAAAAGUAAUAUUUAGUUGCUACAAUAAAAAUAUGUAGUAAUGUACAAAAAGUUAAGAAAAAUACAUUAUACAGUUCUUGUCCUUAACAAACAUAUGAUUUGCCCAGAGAGGAAACUUAUAAAAGUAACUGCAGAAAGGUCAACAGUAAAUUCCAAAUUUUGUGUUCUAGAAGCUGUAUGUGAUGGAAGGUAAAACUUCAUGGACAAAGGACUUUGGAUCUGCACGGGAAGAAACACAGCAUCCAGAGCAUGGAGGGGGGGUCUUUUUGUUUUGUUUUUUACACGAGGGAUCGAACUCACAACCUUGGUCUCGCAAGGCAGAUGUGCGCCAUGGGGCCGGGAAAUUAAGGGCCAUGCUGAGCAGAGGGCACGUGCGCGGGAGGCUGCCUCCUUGGAAACCGGAAGAGGCCCAGUCCCAGCCCUUCCUUUGUACUCCAUUAACGCGACCUCGGCCUUUCUCCCCCGCAAUCUGAGUGAUCUAUCUAAAAGUUACUAAAAUGAGAAGCUAGAAAAUAAUAAACAAGAAAUAAAUACUGUGAAAUAUAAUAGAAAAAAGUCGCAAUGUGAAAUAGGAAGAAAAGGGCUAAAGGUGUAGGGACAGUGGGAAGGGUAGAGGAAGGGGAAUAAGGGAGAGGGAAAAAAUGUGAGAAAAAUGUAACAAUGGAAUUAAAGUCUUGGUAGGUGGGGAGGGGAGGGGGUGAAGGGAGGGUGGGGACAAGGGGAAAAAAUGAGAACCAAGACCUGUCAUACAAAGGUACAAGAUCCCAGUAAUGAAUGUAACUGUACUGUAUACCUAGAAUGUACCAAUAAACUCAAUUUUAAAAAAGUCAUCUGUGAAGAGAGAGGGUCUGAGGGACUAGAGAGCCAGGAGGAAGGCAGGACACUUUGGGCUUUGUCCCCAUGAGAGGACAGAAAGAGCUUAGGCACUGCCAUCUUGUUAAAUGUCUUGACAUAGCACAAGAUUAUUAAAAAGCUGUGUCAUUCUCUCUAGUAUAGGCCAAGUAUGAUAAUAUAAAUCUUUUACCAACAGGGUAAUUUUUUAUUUAUUAUCAAAGUUUGUAGGAAAUUAAUUACUCAUUAGCAAAGCCUGCACUUUUGGAGAAUUUUUAAAAGAUUAAUUCACAUUUUAUCAUUUAUCAUUGCUUAGGAAACC